Molecule: ribosomal RNA, 292 nt
Filed under: uncultured Verrucomicrobiota bacterium
Lineage: Bacteria; Pseudomonadati; Verrucomicrobiota
Description: uncultured Verrucomicrobia bacterium partial 16S ribosomal RNA
Source: RNAcentral
GGACUACUGGGGUAUCUAAUCCCGUUUGCUCCCCUGGCUUUCGUGCCUCAGCGUCAGGAAGUGUCCAGAGACUCGCCUUCGCCACUGGUGUUCCACUUGAUAUCUACGCAUUUCACUGCUACACCAAGUAUUCCAGUCUCCCCUCCACUCCUCCAGCCGGAUAGUAUCCAAUGCCGUUCCGCAGUUGAGCUGCGGGAUUUCACAUCAGACUUACCCGACCGCCUACGCACCCUUUACGCCCAGUGAAUCCGAACAACGCUUGGGACCUCUGUAUUACCGCGGCUGCUGGCAC